GACGAACGCUGGCGGCGUGCCUAAUACAUGCAAGUAGAACGAGUUGCGAACGGGUGAGUAACGCGUGGUAACCUGCUUCAUAGCGGGGGAUAACUAUUGGAAACGAUAGCUCAUACCGCAUACUUUGAGAUGGACCUGCGUUGUAUUAGCUAGUUGGGAAGGUAAAUGCUCACCAAGGCGACGAUACAUAGCCGACCUGAGAGGGUGACCAGCCACACUGGAACUGAGACACGGUCCAGACUCCUACGGGAGGCAGCAGUGGGGAGUAUUGCACAAUGGGCGCAAGCCUGAUGCAGCCAUGCCGCGGGUAUGAAGAAGGCCUUCGGGUUGUAAAGUACUUUCAGCGGGGAGGCGUUACCCGCAGGAGAAGCACCGGCUAACUCCGUGCCAGCAGCCGCGGUAAUAC
Molecule: ribosomal RNA, 406 nt
Filed under: uncultured bacterium
Lineage: Bacteria
Description: partial 16S ribosomal RNA
Rfam family: Bacterial small subunit ribosomal RNA
Source: RNAcentral